Long non-coding RNA from Triticum dicoccoides, 1151 nucleotides. RefSeq lists it as uncharacterized. NCBI's taxonomy places the organism in Eukaryota, Viridiplantae, Streptophyta, Magnoliopsida, Poales, Poaceae. The transcript has 3 exons. The record is from RefSeq and is a predicted model, not a curated record.
GCCCUCUUGCUGGGUGCCUGGGUUCCUGCCCAUGGAUCUUCGUCGUCACGCUGAUGGCGGCCGGUCGCUGACGAAGGAAAUGGAACCCAAUGAAGGGAUCCUGAAAGUCCAUGGUACACACAUGUCAGCAACAUUUCUUUGGAAAAAUCACAUAAAAAGGGUCCCAAGAUGUAGUCCACCGAGACAGUAGAAUUGUUCUUAUCUGAUAGGUAAACUACAUAAUCAUUACAUCAGUAGUUGUUUUAGACCUAUCUCAACUAUUGCCAUUGAAAUGUCUAAACAAUGGCAUAGCAUUGUUAUUACCAGUUUUUUAAAGAGAUUCACAUGCAGUAUUAUUUGGGAUAACGCCGAGGAUGCAAUACUACUUACUAGCCAGAGUAUAGUUUAAUUACUGUUACUAGCUAAUUUGGCCAAUCAUACAAUUAUAGUCAGUUCUGCCAGACAAUCCUCAAACAUUUAUAUAGGAGAGCACAUAUACUCCUAUCUGAAAGUUUUGUUACCAAUGAACCUAAGACUCCUUGAGCUGAAUUGCUUUCUUCUGAAGUAAUGGAGACAUAUACAGUUGUAGAUUUGGUCACUUUUUUUCUUUGCUGAUUGAUUAUUUAUAUUUGACAUGCUUAUUCCGCAUGGGGUUAGUCAGACCAUCUCUAAGAUUGCAGGGGAGCUAAUACAACGACCUUAUGCAGAAUAUAGGACACAAUCAAGCUCUUUAGCUAAUCUUGCUUGGCUGUAUGGAUUAAUUUCAUGUGGUAAAUUAACUAUUCUGAAAAUGAAAGCUGCAGACCUUGUCAUCAGCAAAAAAAAGGUGUUUUGUGAAUGGAAGCAGUGGGUUGAAGUUUAUCUGGAGCAGGGCAUUGUGGCACACCGUGCAUUGUCCUAUUCAUCAUUUCAGAGGGUGCCAUCUUGAUGUCUGCAUUCACCCACACCGCCUACUUUAUCUUAGAUCUCCAAUGAAUUGGUAUACUCCAUAUAUUACUGAUGUCCAUAGUUUGGCCAAUUUUGAAAAAUGUUAAGCUGCACUCCUGUAAUCUAGCGUUUUCCUAUAUUAUAUCGGUAAUAUAUGUGAACAUGUUUAAUAGUUGGGCAAAAAGUUUCAGUUGAUUGUAACUGCUUCAUCGUAGAAAUAAACAUGCAUAUAUAUGCUACUUCAA